This 253-nucleotide ribosomal RNA is filed under the name uncultured bacterium. Its description in RNAcentral is "partial 16S ribosomal RNA". It matches the Rfam family "Bacterial small subunit ribosomal RNA", at positions 524 to 776 of the family's 1533-position model. The record is from RNAcentral.
UACGUAGGUGGCGAGCGUUGUCCGGAUUUACUGGGCGUAAAGGGAGCGUAGGCGGACUUUUAAGUGAGAUGUGAAAUACUCGGGCUCAACCUGAGUGCUGCAUUUCAAACUGGAAGUCUAGAGUGCAGGAGAGGAGAAUGGAAUUCCUAGUGUAGCGGUGAAAUGCGUAGAGAUUAGGAAGAACACCAGUGGCGAAGGCGAUUCUCUGGACUGUAACUGACGCUGAGGCUCGAAAGCGUGGGGAGCAAACAGG